RNAcentral lists this non-coding RNA (1246 nucleotides) under Pongo abelii (Sumatran orangutan). The record is from RNAcentral. Lineage: Eukaryota; Metazoa; Chordata; Mammalia; Primates; Hominidae.
UUACCUACCGUUGGAACCGCAAUGCCCCGUUCCCUGGCCGCGGCCGCUUCUCCAGGACCCGCGGCGACGGCAAGAGGGCGAGAACUGAGGCCCCAAGUGGCUCCGCGGCCGAGAAGCCUCUUCCUGGGGCGGCCGCUGACGGGAGGUUAAAGCUACGGCUGUGGCGCGGGGCCAGCCCGCAGGUGGCAGUAAAGUGUUUUGUCCAAACUAAAUUACAACGACUACUUCCCAAUAGAUGGAAGCAAACCGUCUGGACGAAGGAGAGCUUUUUUCUCAUGGUGCUGCUGUGUUAGCCUAGUGACAGCUCUGUAUGGCCCACACCUGGUCCACAGGAAGCUCUCAGGCACCUCUUGCCCGAACAAACUUGGGAGUACAGGCUAAUCCCAGUGCAGAUUCAACAUUCCUCUACUCUGCUGCCAAAACAGCCGCCAGCCUGUGGGAGUCAGACACAGGCCCACGGUGCCCCUCAGACUGCAAGAGGCACAGGUCAAGUGCUCUGAGCAGUUCCAUUGAAGGCCCACUCCCUUGACUUGAGGUAAAAGGUAGGCAGGCACCUGUGGUAAGAAUCACAGCUCACCAGCAACAGUCUCCAAAGACAUUGUCCUCAAUAAUUCUGGUUUGGCCUUUUAUAACUACAUAACUGUGAGUAUUUAAUCUACCUGCUUUGUCUAAAUCCUCUGAAAUUUCUAGAGGGGGUCUAUCUCAGAAAUCACUUUAGUUUUUGGAGGGAAGAAGAUGGUUUCUUUUGUAAUAAUCUUGUUGCUUCAGUUAAAACAGUGGUUCUCAACUGCGACAAUUUUGGGGGACCAUGUGUGCAGACAUUUUUGGGUUUUUUUUAACAUUUUUUUUCCUUCUGAAUUCAGGAUCUGCUUGAAUACAGACAUUUUUUAUUGUCACCACUGGAAAGGUGCUAUUGGUUGGUGGGUGAAGGUCAAGGAUGCUGGUAAACAUCCUUUACGGCACAGGACAGCCCCUACAGCAAAGAAUAGCAAUUCUGUUUGUUACAGAGAUGAGAGAAUACCUUACUAAAAGAAUACUUCAAAAUUACAUCACUUUUUCUUCUUUUUUCCUACAAAUUCUUUACCUGUAGAUGGAAACGUCACAUUUCAAUGUAUCAAUAGAGUCAAAAAUAGCAUUUGCGAUAGUUAUUUGGCCAGGAUGAGAAGUGACUGGUAUAGACCAAGCCUUUGUGUUUCCAAGACUCCCUCUGGAGAUGAGGCCAUGCCAGGAAAAUUACUACUUGAGA